RNAcentral lists this ribosomal RNA (694 nucleotides) under uncultured bacterium. RNAcentral describes it as "bacterial SSU rRNA". It matches the Rfam family "Bacterial small subunit ribosomal RNA", at positions 32 to 715 of the family's 1533-position model. The record is from RNAcentral.
AACGCUAGCUACAGGCUUAACACAUGCAAGUCGAGGGGUAACGAGAGGGAAGCUUGCUUUCCUUGUCGACGACCGGCGCACGGGUGAGUAACGCGUAUCCAACCUGCCCACAACUAAGGAAUAACCUUGCGAAAGUAAGACUAAUACCUUAUAAUUUCCUCUGAAGGCAUCGGACGAGGAAUAAAGAUUUAUCGGUUAUGGAUGGGGAUGCGUCUGAUUAGCUUGUUGGCGGGGUAACGGCCCACCAAGGCAACGAUCAGUAGGGGUUCUGAGAGGAAGGUCCCCCACAUUGGAACUGAGACACGGUCCAAACUCCUACGGGAGGCAGCAGUGAGGAAUAUUGGUCAAUGGGCGAGAGCCUGAACCAGCCAAGUAGCGUGCAGGAUGACGGCCCUAUGGGUUGUAAACUGCCUUUAUACAGGAAUAAAGUUAGCCACGUGUGGUUAUUUGUAGGUACUGUAUGAAUAAGGACCGGCUAAUUCCGUGCCAGCAGCCGCGGUAAUACGGAAGGUCCAGGCGUUAUCCGGAUUUAUCGGGUUUAAAGGGAGCGUAGGCCGUCUGUUAAGCGUGUUGUGAAAUGUAGAUGCUCAACAUCUGAAUUGCAGCGCGAACUGGCAGACUUGAGUGUGCGCAACGUAGGCGGAAUUCGUGGUGUAGCGGUGAAAUGCUUAGAUAUCACGAAGAACUCCGAUUG